RNAcentral lists this transfer RNA (72 nucleotides) under Phrynosoma platyrhinos (Desert horned lizard). RNAcentral describes it as "tRNA-OTHER". Lineage: Eukaryota; Metazoa; Chordata; Lepidosauria; Squamata; Phrynosomatidae. The record is from RNAcentral.
GCCAGCAUGGCAUAGUGGUUUGAGUGUUGGACUAUGAAUCUAGAGUCCAGAGUUCAAUUCCCAGUUCAGCUA